GGAGAGGUGCUCGAGUGGUUGAAGAGGCGCGCCUGGAAAGCUCGUAUACGUCUCAAGCGUAUCAGGGGUUCGAAUCCCCUUCUCUCCGCAA
This 91-nucleotide transfer RNA is filed under the name Alistipes sp. RNAcentral's name for it is "tRNA-Ser". It matches the Rfam family "tRNA". Rfam says of the family: Transfer RNA (tRNA) molecules are approximately 80 nucleotides in length. Their secondary structure includes four short double-helical elements and three loops (D, anti-codon, and T loops). The record is from RNAcentral. Lineage: Bacteria; Pseudomonadati; Bacteroidota; Bacteroidia; Bacteroidales; Rikenellaceae.